GCCAACAACUUUUGUCGAGUAGUCAGAGAGACGCGAAACCGCGCAUUGUCCUCACGAAACACGACGCCCUUCGGAUUUGUUAGUUCUGGACGUUUUUGUUCAAUUUGCUGUUCUUAAUUUAUUUAAUUGCGAUCCCACCAGACACAAAGCAUGACUUCCUUCGGAUGAAGAUCGACUUUUGCGAUGGCUAAAGGUGAUUCAAUCCGCUUUCUCAAGAUCUUUUCUGUUCAACGUUAUUAUAAAUAAUCCAUUUUUGAUCUGUCGUCAUUAUCUUCAAAUAUCACUUGCUUCAAAAAUGGUGUCUCCUCGUUGCGUUUGCACAACGAGUCGCGAAUGAAAAUGCCAUCCUUUAGAUUUUUUUCCGUUAAAUCGUGAGGAACCCACACAUCAAAACGGUUUAUAUAGCCAAGCUUCGCAAAAUGCUCGUGGAUGGUGAAUUUUGAUAUUUUUAACAUUUCCGCUAAUUCAGGUGUCGUAUAGCGUAGGUUAUUCUGGAUCAGUGUUUUCAUCUGACCUUAAUCAGUAGUAGAGGGCGUACCCGAGUGUUAUUAAACCUCAAGAUUGAAAUCACCAGCUUUAAAUCUGGCAAACAACUUCCGCACAGUUCUUGUAGCUAUAGUAUCGUCAUCAUAAACAGCGCAUAUCUUGUUUGCUGCUUGUGUGGCAUUCUUGCCUCUCUGGUAAAGGAAAAGCUUCAAAUGGCUAUGAUACAUUUCGUUUCCUUCUAUUUAAGGACGUAUAAAACUAACAAACUUUUUUCUAAAGAUACCUGAAAUAUCAUCUUUUAAAAUCUGUA
Bombus terrestris (buff-tailed bumblebee) is the source of this 796-nucleotide long non-coding RNA. RefSeq lists it as uncharacterized. Lineage: Eukaryota; Metazoa; Arthropoda; Insecta; Hymenoptera; Apidae. The record is from RefSeq and is a predicted model, not a curated record. The transcript has 2 exons.